Long non-coding RNA from Siniperca chuatsi (mandarin fish), 652 nucleotides. RefSeq lists it as uncharacterized. The transcript has 3 exons. NCBI's taxonomy places the organism in Eukaryota, Metazoa, Chordata, Actinopteri, Centrarchiformes, Sinipercidae. The record is from RefSeq and is a predicted model, not a curated record.
AGAUGGGAAUGAUGAGCCUGUAGACAUCAGCGAUGAGCUCAUAACGCUCCGCCUUCCAGAGGCCAUCAGCACACUCCUCCAAAAGCUCCAUCAGCACCUCCUGAACACACAGAUAAAGAGGCUACAGUGAACCUAAACUGAGCAUAGUGUUCCUGUAAAGACAGCAGAUGCGGGAGGAAAUGGAUCUAUCAUCUCCUUUCUUUUUAUUGGGGGAUGAUACUGAGUCCAGCUCAUAAAGAGGAAAGGAUUUUAGAGCAAAUGGAAGGUUAUCAGUUUACCAGAAGACCUAGUCACAGGUGUCUGUGUCAACAAGCCACUCCGGGACAUGCAGAGUGUCCUGGAGCAAGACACUGAAUCCCUGAACACCUCUAGAAGUGCUGACCCUCAGUCCUUGUCAGAUUUCCCAACAUUGUUCCAUCUGCCAGCUCAGUAAUUUUUUUUACAUUACCAACACAUGUACCAAGCCCUGUGUGUCAAAGUCUACAGUAAAUUCACUUCGCAGAGCAAUUGAUACUCUUAAAAGAGAUAAGAGCUCUUCUACACAGUCAUUAUGUGACACGUGAUGCCACUGAGGAACUUAAAAAAACAUCCUAAAUGCUUGGUCAACACAGCGGGCCUGGCAGAUAUUUACAGCAUGCAUACAGUAUAUGUA